Molecule: ribosomal RNA, 368 nt
Filed under: uncultured organism
Description: bacterial SSU rRNA
Rfam family: Bacterial small subunit ribosomal RNA
Source: RNAcentral
CGUAGGUGGCAAGCGUUGUCCGGAUUUAUUGGGUUUAAAGGGUGCGUAGGCGGCCCUGUAAGUCAGUGGUGAAAUGCUCUAGCUUAACUAGAGAGGUGCCAAUGAUACUGCAGGGCUUGAGUACAGAUGAGGUAGGCGGAAUUGACGGUGUAGCGGUGAAAUGCAUAGAUAUCGUCAAGAACACCUAUAGCGAAGGCAGCUUACUGGGCUGUAACUGACGCUGAUGCACGAAAGUGUGGGGAUCAAACAGGAUUAGAUACCCUGGUAGUCCACACUGUAAACGUUGAUUACUCGCUGUUUGCGAUACACAGCAAGCGGCUUAGCGAAAGCGAUAAGUAAUCCACCUGGGGAGUACGCCGGCAACGGUG